UGCAGUCGAGCGGAUGACGGGAGCUUGCUCCUUGAUUCAGCGGCGGACGGGUGAGUAAUGCCUAGGAAUCUGCCUGGUAGUGGGGGACAACGUUUCGAAAGGAACGCUAAUACCGCAUACGUCCUACGGGAGAAAGCAGGGGACCUUCGGGCCUUGCGCUAUCAGAUGAGCCUAGGUCGGAUUAGCUAGUUGGUGAGGUAAUGGCUCACCAAGGCGACGAUCCGUAACUGGUCUGAGAGGAUGAUCAGUCACACUGGAACUGAGACACGGUCCAGACUCCUACGGGAGGCAGCAGUGGGGAAUAUUGGACAAUGGGCGAAAGCCUGAUCCAGCCAUGCCGCGUGUGUGAAGAAGGUCUUCGGAUUGUAAAGCACUUUAAGUUGGGAGGAAGGGCAGUAAGUUAAUACCUUGCUGUUUUGACGUUACCGACAGAAUAAGCACCGGCUAACUCUGUGCCAGCAGCCGCGGUAAUACAGAGGGUGCAAGCGUUAAUCGGAAUUACUGGGCGUAAAGCGCGCGUAGGUGGUUCGUUAAGUUGGAUGUGAAAGCCCCGGGCUCAACCUGGGAACUGCAUCCAAAACUGGCGAGCUAGAGUACGGUAGAGGGUGGUGGAAUUUCCUGUGUAGCGGUGAAAUGCGUAGAUAUAGGAAGGAACACCAGUGGCGAAGGCGACCACCUGGACUGAUACUGACACUGAGGUGCG
RNAcentral lists this ribosomal RNA (703 nucleotides) under Pseudomonas monteilii. RNAcentral's name for it is "bacterial SSU rRNA". It matches the Rfam family "Bacterial small subunit ribosomal RNA", at positions 56 to 755 of the family's 1533-position model. Lineage: Bacteria; Pseudomonadati; Pseudomonadota; Gammaproteobacteria; Pseudomonadales; Pseudomonadaceae. The record is from RNAcentral.